Molecule: ribosomal RNA, 253 nt
Filed under: uncultured bacterium
Lineage: Bacteria
Description: partial 16S ribosomal RNA
Rfam family: Bacterial small subunit ribosomal RNA
Source: RNAcentral
UACGAAGGGUCCUAGCGUUGUUCGGAAUCAUUGGGCGUAGAGAGCACGUAGGUAGUCUAGUAAGUCAGGUGUGAAAUCCCAGGGCUCAACCCUGGAAGUGCACUUGAAACUGCAUGACUUGAGUACGGAAGAGGUAAGCGGAAUUCCUGGUGUAGUGGUGAAAUACGUAGAUAUCAGGAGGAACAUCGGUGGCGAAGGCGGCUUACUGGUCCUGUACUGACACUGAGGUGCGAAAGCAUGGGGAUCAAACAGG